AGCAGGCUGUAGCUCAUAGUUUUAGUCUUUUCCUGCAGGUUAUAAAGCAAACAAACUGGCUGCCUCCAUUCCUGAAAUUGCAGCAACAAGACCAGAGAGUGACACAAGGUUUUCCUGGAUUGUUUCCCUCUCCAUCUACAGCUGUUACCUGACUUCUCUCCAUUCACAAUGAAAUGACUUCAGAAAACAAGGUCUCCACUGUUGUAACUGGAGGAAUAGAAAAUGUUGUCUUCGCUUUUAAUAAUUUGUCUAUGGGAGAAGUACUUUUUCUAAAGCUGUUGGUAACUGGGGGAAGCUAUGACUACAAAGAAAUAUUUUUGAGUAGAGGCCAUUACAUGAGCUCUUCCCUGCUUGUUUUCAUGCCUUGUCCUACUGGAUUGUCUUUCUUUCAAUUUUUGCAGCAAUUCCUGUUCUCCAGUUGCCUCCCUGUCCCUCUUUGUGGACUCUGAGCUGCAGAACCAUGCCUGGUGAGAGAGCAUGUGUGACAGGCAGCACACCGGGCUGGGGACUAUUAGGCAUCACCAGAACAAUCUCUCAAACUUAAUCUUGUGGUGAAAAUCUUUGCAGAAGAUACAAAUAUUCAACUGUUGGUAAUUUUCCAGGAUAGAAACACAAAAUUUUCCCAAGGUGGAAACAUAAAAUCCUGGCCUUUUUUUUUGGCUUCUUGGUUGAUCCAUAGAAGAAUUCACACCCUGGGAAAAUGUUUUCUGUGUACAUUGUAAAAGCACAUUCCUGAAUCAUGGCACCAGGCUUGCUGAAUGAAUAGAAUAGGUGGAAUAUUGUUGUGUGAAAUAAAUUAGACUUUUAAAAACA
RNAcentral lists this long non-coding RNA (813 nucleotides) under Zonotrichia albicollis (white-throated sparrow). RNAcentral describes it as "lncRNA (ENSZALG00000018162.1)". The record is from RNAcentral. Lineage: Eukaryota; Metazoa; Chordata; Aves; Passeriformes; Passerellidae.